Molecule: non-coding RNA, 1897 nt
Organism: Podarcis muralis (Common wall lizard)
Lineage: Eukaryota; Metazoa; Chordata; Lepidosauria; Squamata; Lacertidae
Source: RefSeq, a predicted model, not a curated record
CCCCAACUUAACAGUAUACACUAGGGUAAAGUGUGCAUAUGUACAGAAGGGGAAACAGCUUUGCAAAAGUGCGUGUCUUAGGCAAAACGGCAUAAGAAAAUGUGUAUUAUGAGAAAUUUGCAAUAAAAUGCUGGUGAAAUUUCAUGGGGAUUUUUUUUUUUUAAGACCAUUUGCAAACUGAUGCGGAAAUGUGGAGAACUGAUGACUGGAAAAAUCAGUAGCCAAAAUUGACAUUUUUGCCUAUCCCUACUCCAAAUUGUCACAGAGAUUCUCCCUCUCCGUUUUGUGUUUAAGCAAUGAUUGAAGCCAUUUUUAUUUGGACAGGCUUUUAAUGUUUAACUUUUCUGCUCUUUUAGGAAUUUUCUGGCGACUGCCGUUCAGUUUUAUGAUCAGAGCAUGAGCUGCCAUCCUACUGCAGGGCCUCGGGUGUUUACAGGAGUCACCACUUGAAGAGAUGCCCUAGACAUAGGGGACUUUGUUCUGCAGACGAUACGUUUUAUUUAGCUAUCAUGAGGACAGGACAGUCCUAACCUUCACCUGAUGCACUUUAGUCAGUGGAAUCAGGGUCCAGCUGACGCAUUUUGACCUGGUAAUGGCAAAAACCUUGCUUACAGGGCAGUGGCCUCUGUAAUGUGUAAUUCUGGUGCCAACAGAAAAACAGCCUGUAUUUCUAACCCCUAUCUAGAUAUGCAGAGGCGGGGAAUUUCUACCUGAACUGAAUGCUAGGUCAACAUUAUCUGUGUGUCCCCCAGUUGGAUUUUUCCCAUUCCUGUGCCUAGAAAACUCCACCAUUGCCACCUGACCCAGCCAACUUCAGCUCAAGCAAAAGGAGCACUCUGGACACAGGGCUAAAGUCCAUUCCCAUCAUGCCUGUUUGUUUUCAUAGCUGCAGGACAUGGCAGACUGUUUGCGCUAAGCCCAGCCAAGGCCGCGGUUCCUGAACAUUUUGGCCUUCGGUGACAGCACUGCAUCUGUGGCAGUCCGCCAUGGUGGCCUUGUAUCAGGAAAAGCAGAGCGAGACCUGUGUUUGUGCUGUGGUAACUCAUAGGCUGAGCAAUGGCUAUGACUACUUCUACAGCCUUGUUUUCCUGCAGCACAGGUGAGAGGCAUGCAGGGCAAACUAAGACAAUAAUAAAUCUCAUUAGGUGAAAUAGAGCUUCUAAGUAAUAGGAUUGGUGAGCAGCAGCAAACUUUCCUAAGGGAAGGAACGUAAGAGUUCUACUGGAUGUUGUUCUCAGUGGCCAACCAAAAGGCUAUGUAAGUGCACAAUUGAUUUGAGUACGACAGCACUCUCCUCACUCAUGUUCCCCAGUAACUGGUACACAGAGGGAUUCUACGCUGACCUGAAUGUAAUACUGUUAUGAGUUGUCGGUGCAAGACACCUUAAGUUCCGAAUCAAGCUAGUGUUAGAAUUUAAUUAAGGCCUGUGUGUUAAAACUGUGUGUCAGACUCCCACAUUUUAGAAUCUAAUCAAGACCUGUGUGUAUUGGGCUGUGUAUCAAGAUACCUCUUUAAUCAUGGGGAAUCAACAAGUGUUACAAGCUAAUUUAGUCAGGCUUAUUACCUUUUGAGGUGAUAGUUUGGGCAACACAAAGGAUCAAGGGCAAAUCGCAUGUGCUAAUGAGUUGGCUCCCUCCCUCCCUCAACUGAGAGUUAGUUUAAAAGACAAUGCCAGUGUUAGGUUAGUGUUUAGGAUUGUAGUUAUGAGUUAAGCAACACCGAUAGUAAGCAGUGGGCUGGAGAGGGAGUCUGGGAGCAAUGAUUGGGGUCUGCUUUAGUCUGAGGCUGCUGUGGCUAUGGGAGAAGCCAGAACCUCUUGGGGUGUGAAUGCUGUGAACUCCUCCAUCGUAGGCUCAGGCUGUAUAUAUGUGUAAAUAAACCAUAUAUCAUAAAGACA